CUGGUGGUCCAAUGGUUAAGACUCUGCACUCCCAAUGCAAGGGGCCCUGGUUCGAUUCUUGGUCAG
Molecule: transfer RNA, 66 nt
Filed under: Ovis aries (sheep)
Lineage: Eukaryota; Metazoa; Chordata; Mammalia; Artiodactyla; Bovidae
Rfam family: tRNA
About the family: Transfer RNA (tRNA) molecules are approximately 80 nucleotides in length. Their secondary structure includes four short double-helical elements and three loops (D, anti-codon, and T loops).
Source: Rfam by way of RNAcentral